GGGAGUGAAAUAGAACCUGAAACCCUGCACUUACAAGCUGUGGAAGCACAUUUCUUGUGUGACCGCGUACUUUUUGUAGAACGGGCCAACGAGUUACGUUAAGUAGCAAGGUUAAGCACUUAAGGUGCGGAGCCGUAGCGAAAGCGAGUUUUAACUGAGCGUUCAGUUACUUGACGUAGACCCGAAACCGGGCGACCUACCCAGGAGCAGGAUGAAGCGAAAGUAAAAUUUCGUGGAGGUCCGAACCAACGAGCGUUGAAAAGCUCGGGGAUGACUUGUGGGUAGCGGUGAAAUUCCAAUCGAGCCCGGAGAUAGCUGGUUCUCCCCGAAAUAGCUUUAGGGCUAGCCUCAAGGUGAGAGAUACGGAGGUAGAGCACUGAAUGUCCUAGGGGGUAUUGCACCUA
RNAcentral lists this ribosomal RNA (404 nucleotides) under Clostridioides difficile. Its description in RNAcentral is "bacterial LSU rRNA". It matches the Rfam family "Bacterial large subunit ribosomal RNA", at positions 534 to 938 of the family's 2925-position model. Lineage: Bacteria; Bacillati; Bacillota; Clostridia; Peptostreptococcales; Peptostreptococcaceae. The record is from RNAcentral.